AAUAAGUCUAGUAUUUAUAAAAAUAAUUUAUAAUAAAAUAACAUUGAAGUAAAGUUUAUUGAAACUAUGUAUUUAAAAGCUAUAGUAAAAAGUACUGUAAAGGAAAGUUGAAAUAAAAUGAAAAAUUUAAAAUAAUUUAAAGCAAUUAUAAAGUUUUGUACCUUGUGUAUCAGGGAAAAUUAAAUUAAUUUCCUAUAUUUAGGUAAAUCCCGAAAAAAGAAGAGCUAAUAUAAUAAAAAGUUAUCGUGUUAAAGAUAUUUUAAAUAUUGUUUUAGUAAUGAAAUGUUAAUCGGUUCUUUAUAUCUGGUUAUAAGUGAAUCAAAUUUAAUUUUAUAGCAUUUGUUAAAAAUACUUUGUUGUUAAGAAAAGGAGGAAAAAGCUUCUUUUUCUAGAAAUAAUUUCAUUGAGUUUACGUUCUAAAUUAAAUGUGUAAUAAAUUUUAAAAUUAGGCUUAGAAGCAGCCAUGUUAGUAAAGCGUUUUAGCUAAUAAAAUAAUAAACUAAUAUUUAUAUAUUGUAAAACCUGUAAAAGUAACUUAUAAAUUAACAAAUUAAUACAGUUGUUGUUAAAAUGAUUUUAUUAGUAGAUAAUUUAUUGUGUUAUAAAAAUUAAUUUAAAUAUUUAUAAUUUUAUAAAAUAAAAUGUUUUAAAUAUACAGUUAAGGAAUUCGGCAAAUAUUUCUUUUGCCUGUUUAUCAAAAACAUGUCUGUGCGAAGGUAUGUAAAGUCUGGCCUGCCCACUGACUUAAUAUGUUUAAAGGGCCGCGGUAUUUUGACCGUGCGAAGGUAGCAUAAUCAUUAGUCUUUUAAUUGAAGGCUUGUAUGAAUGGUCGGACAAAAAGUAAGCUGUCUUCAGCUGUAGAGAUUGAAUUUGACUUUUAAGUGAAAAGGCUUAAAUAGUAUAAAGUGACGAUAAGACCCUAUAAAGCUUUAUAGUGUAACUUUUUAUUAUAAAUUAUAAAAUUGUAUAACUUAAUUUAAAGUAAAGCUCUUUUGUUGGGGCGACAGAAAUAUAAUAAAAUAACUGUUUUUGUUAAAGUAAAACAAAUAUUUUUGGUGCUAAUAAAUGAUCCUUUAUUAAAGAUUAAAAGAUUAAGUUACUUUAGGGAUAACAGCGUAAUCUUCUUUGAGAGUUCAUAUCGACAAGAAGGGUUGCGACCUCGAUGUUGAAUUAAGGUUCCUGCGUGGUGUAGCAGUUGCGGUUAGGAGGUCUGUUCGACCUUUAAAUCCUUACAUGAUUUGAGUUCAGACCGGCGUGAGCCAGGUCGGUUUCUAUCUUUUGUGUUAUAUAAAAAUUACUUUAGUACGAAAGGAUUAAGUAAUUGAAAUAAUUUUUAGGUUUAAAGAUUAAUGUUAAUUUACAUUGCCUUGGCAGAAUUAUGCACUAGACUUAGGAUC
Molecule: ribosomal RNA, 1397 nt
Filed under: Sergia lucens
Lineage: Eukaryota; Metazoa; Arthropoda; Malacostraca; Decapoda; Sergestidae
Description: l-rRNA
Rfam family: Archaeal large subunit ribosomal RNA (bases 625-1397)
Source: RNAcentral